GACGAACGCUGGCGGCGUGCCUAAUACAUGCAAGUUGAGCGAUGAAGAUUGGUGCUUGCACCAAUUUGAAGAGCAGCGAACGGGUGAGUAACGCGUGGGGAAUCUGCCUUUGAGCGGGGGACAACAUUUGGAAACGAAUGCUAAUACCGCAUAAUAACUUUAAACAUAAGUUUUAAGUUUGAAAGAUGCAAUUGCAUCACUCAAAGAUGAUCCCGCGUUGUAUUAGCUAGUUGGUGAGGUAAAGGCUCACCAAGGCGAUGAUACAUAGCCGACCUGAGAGGGUGAUCGGCCACAUUAGGACUGAGACACGGCCCAAACUCCUACGGGAGGCAGCAGUAGGGAAUCUUCGGCAAUGGACGAAAGUCUGACCGAGCAACGCCGCGUGAGUGAAGAAGGUUGUCGGAUCGUAAAACUCUGUUGGUAGAGAAGAACGUUGGUGAGAGUGGAAAGCUCAUCAAGUGACGGUAACUACCCAGAAAGGGACGGCUAACUACGUG
This 497-nucleotide ribosomal RNA is filed under the name uncultured bacterium. RNAcentral describes it as "partial 16S ribosomal RNA". It matches the Rfam family "Bacterial small subunit ribosomal RNA", at positions 28 to 507 of the family's 1533-position model. The record is from RNAcentral.